This 246-nucleotide unclassified non-coding RNA is filed under the name Hevea brasiliensis (rubber tree). Lineage: Eukaryota; Viridiplantae; Streptophyta; Magnoliopsida; Malpighiales; Euphorbiaceae. The record is from RNAcentral.
GUGAAGUGUAGGGGCAUUUACUUUGAGUAGUAUGAACUUUUGCAACUGAAAGUCGGGCUUCUAACAGCCAAAAAUCCUUUAGUAAGUCAAGGGUAUAAAUACCUCACUUGACAAAAUUUUGAGAAAAAACUCUCAAAAUUUCUUCUAAUAGAGACCUUGCUAUCCCUUUUUCUCUCUUUUCCUUCUCCUUCCCAAAAAUUGAGCUUAAAUCUUGGAGUAUGUCCUUGGAAAGGUGUUGCAUGUAAG